This 465-nucleotide ribosomal RNA is filed under the name Vreelandella stevensii. RNAcentral's name for it is "partial 16S ribosomal RNA". It matches the Rfam family "Bacterial small subunit ribosomal RNA", at positions 338 to 795 of the family's 1533-position model. The record is from RNAcentral. Lineage: Bacteria; Pseudomonadati; Pseudomonadota; Gammaproteobacteria; Oceanospirillales; Halomonadaceae.
CCUACGGGGGGCAGCAGUGGGGAAUAUUGGACAAUGGGGGGAACCCUGAUCCAGCCAUGCCGCGUGUGUGAAGAAGGCCCUCAGGUUGUAAAGCACUUUCAGUGAGGAAGAACGCCUGGUGGUUAAUACCCAUCAGGAAAGACAUCACUCACAGAAGAAGCACCGGCUAACUCCGUGCCAGCAGCCGCGGUAAUACGGAGGGUGCGAGCGUUAAUCGGAAUUACUGGGCGUAAAGCGCGCGUAGGUGGCUUGAUAAGCCGGUUGUGAAAGCCCCGGGCUCAACCUGGGAACGGCAUCCGGAACUGUCAAGCUAGAGUGCAGGAGAGGAAGGUAGAAUUCCCGGUGUAGCGGUGAAAUGCGUAGAGAUCGGGAGGAAUACCAGUGGCGAAGGCGGCCUUCUGGACUGACACUGACACUGAGGUGCGAAAGCGUGGGUAGCAAACAGGAUUAGAUACCCGAGUAGUC